RNAcentral lists this unclassified non-coding RNA (225 nucleotides) under uncultured Helotiales. RNAcentral's name for it is "sequence contains 5.8S rRNA gene, ITS2, 28S rRNA gene". Lineage: Eukaryota; Fungi; Ascomycota; Leotiomycetes; Helotiales. The record is from RNAcentral.
AACGCACAUUGCACCUCUUGGUAAUCCUUGAGGUAUACCUGUUCGAGCGCCGUUUGUGUUCUAAGGCUUCGCCUUGCGUUGAGGUCUCCCGGCGAGGGAUUCCUCGAAACACAUCGGCGCCCGCGACGGCUUCGAAACGCAGAGAAAUGCGGCGAGAAGCCCGAGCGGGCGGCCAGUCUCCGAAAACAUGGCCUCGGAUCAGGUAGGGAUACCCGCUGAACUUAA